GAAAGAAAAUUUGGAAAAAUGAAGUGCACAGAUAAUUUUUCUGGCCUCUUUUUCUUUCACUAGAUAAGAAAACUUCUAGAAAAUAACCCCAGCAACUUGACUUUAAUGGAAAAUACACUGGACUGGGAGUCGGGUUUCCUUCUACAUGCCUAAAAUAGUGAUGGCAGCAUCCACUCAUAAAAGUUCCAGUGCUAGCAAUCAGUCUUGAGAUCAUUAGUUUUCCUGAAGUACAACUGAAAAUGAAGCCCUCCCUUGACUGCUAAUGGCACUCACCUCUACAAUUAUGGAAAUGGUCUUCCUCUUGCUGAAAAUGUGUCUAGUUCU
Molecule: long non-coding RNA, 324 nt
Filed under: Phascolarctos cinereus (koala)
Lineage: Eukaryota; Metazoa; Chordata; Mammalia; Diprotodontia; Phascolarctidae
Description: lncRNA (ENSPCIG00000018215.2)
Source: RNAcentral